GGGGGGGCUGUACGAUUGAUGAUGCCAUUGAACCAAAAAAAAUAAUAAUAAUACACUAAUCAUAGUUCACAACAUAUUUUUUUUUAUAUAUAUAAAUAAAAUUCCCAUUUUUUCUCUUCUCCAAAUUCUCCUAAGUAAAAUUUCUCCAUUACAAAUCAAACCAUUUUUUGUUGGUCCAAUGGCAUCAUCAAUCGUACAAAAUGGACAUGUUAAUGGAGAAGCUAUGGAUUUAUGUAAGAAAUCAAUUAAUGUUAAUGAUCCAUUGAAUUGGGAAAUGGCUGCUGAAUCAUUAAGAGGGAGUCAUUUGGAUGAAGUGAAAAAGAUGGUGGAUGAAUUUAGAAAGCCAAUUGUGAAACUUGGGGGUGAAACUUUAACAGUUGCACAAGUUGCAUCCAUUGCAAAUGUUGAUAACAAAAGUAAUGGGGUCAAAGUGGAACUUUCUGAAAGUGCAAGGGCUGGUGUGAAAGCUAGUAGUGAUUGGGUAAUGGAUAGUAUGGGGAAAGGUACAGAUAGUUACGGUGUGACUACUGGAUUUGGUGCAACAUCUCAUAGAAGAACUAAAAAUGGCGGUGCACUUCAAAAGGAACUUAUCAGGUUCUUGAAUGCUGGAGUUUUUGGAAAUGGAACAGAAUCAUCUCAUACUUUGCCACAUUCAGCAACAAGGGCAGCUAUGCUUGUUAGGAUCAAUACUCUGCUUCAAGGCUACUCUGGCAUUAGAUUUGAAAUUUUGGAAGCAAUUACUAAGUUGAUCAACAGCAACAUUACCCCGUGUUUGCCCCUUCGUGGGACGAUCACUGCAUCGGGUGAUCUUGUCCCGUUGUCAUACAUUGCUGGUUUGCUCACUGGCAGGCCUAACUCCAAGGCUGUUGGACCUAAUGGUGAGAAACUUAAUGCUGAGGAAGCGUUCCGCGUGGCUGGUGUUACUAGUGGAUUUUUCGAGUUGCAGCCUAAGGAAGGACUUGCACUUGUGAAUGGUACUGCAGUUGGUUCUGGUAUGGCAUCAAUGGUACUGUUUGAGUCCAACAUUCUUGCUGUCAUGUCUGAAGUCUUGUCAGCGAUUUUCGCUGAAGUGAUGAACGGAAAGCCUGAAUUCACUGACUAUUUGACACACAAGUUGAAGCAUCACCCUGGCCAGAUUGAGGCUGCUGCUAUUAUGGAACACAUUUUGGAUGGAAGUUCAUACGUUCAGGAAGCAAAGAAAUUACAUGAAAUGGAUCCCCUGCAGAAGCCUAAGCAGGAUCGGUACGCUCUUCGCACUUCACCACAAUGGUUAGGUCCACAAAUUGAAGUGAUUCGAUCAUCAACCAAGUCAAUUGAAAGGGAGAUUAAUUCGGUGAAUGAUAAUCCACUGAUCGAUGUGUCAAGGAACAAAGCCUUGCACGGAGGGAAUUUCCAGGGCACUCCAAUUGGUGUUUCAAUGGAUAACACUAGAUUGGCAUUAGCUUCCAUAGGGAAACUCAUGUUUGCUCAAUUCUCUGAGCUGGUUAAUGAUUUCUACAAUAAUGGUUUGCCUUCAAAUCUCACAGGAGGAAGGAAUCCUAGCUUGGAUUAUGGUUUUAAGGGUGCUGAGAUAGCCAUGGCAGCCUAUUGCUCUGAGCUCCAAUACCUUGCGAACCCUGUUACAAACCAUGUCCAAAGUGCUGAGCAGCAUAAUCAAGAUGUCAACUCAUUAGGGCUGAUUUCUUCAAGGAAAACAGCAGAAGCAGUUGAUAUCUUGAAGCUCAUGUCCUCAACUUUCUUGGUUGCACUUUGCCAGGCAAUAGAUUUAAGGCAUUUAGAAGAGAAUUUGAAGAGCACAGUUAAGAACACAGUGAGCCAGGUGGCUAAGAAAGUUCUAACCAUUGGAGUCAAUGGUGAGCUUCAUCCUUCAAGAUUCUGCGAGAAAGAUCUGCUCAGGGUAGUCGAUCGCGAGCAAGUGUUUGCAUACAUUGAUGAUCCUUGUAGUUCAACAUACCCACUAAUGCAGAAGAUGAGACAAGUCAUUGUGGAUCAUGCAUUAACCAACAAUGAUUAUAUAAACAACAUAGAUGCUUCAAUCUUCCUCAAGAUAGGUGCUUUCGAAGACGAAUUGAAGUCUGUCUUGCCAACAGAAGUAGAAGCUGCAAGAAGUGGUUUUGAGAGUGGAAAUCCUGCAAUUCCAAACAGAAUCAAGGACUGCAGGUCUUAUCCACUGUACAAGUUUGUGAAAGAAGAUUUGGGAACUGAACUUCUAACAGGAGAGAAACUCAGGUCUCCUGGCGAGGAAUUUGAUAAGUUGUUUACAGCAAUUUGUGAAGGAAAGAUUAUUGAUCCUCUCCUUGAAUGUCUUAAGGAUUGGGAUGGCACGCCUCUGCCAAUUUGUUAAGAGGGAUUUUUCUUCUGCAAAUCUUGUUUUCUUUCUCUUUUACUGUGAUCUUGGUAUUGUAGUGUAAGAGCAUUCUGCAUUUCCCCCCUCUUCCAUAUGUAAUUUGAAAGUAUAUAUAAAGCUAGCAAGGAGUGUAUUUCAUGAUAUCACUUUGUUUCAAUAAAAGUUUAAUUGUCAAGUUUUUAAACAUUGCC
RNAcentral lists this unclassified non-coding RNA (2538 nucleotides) under Hevea brasiliensis (rubber tree). Lineage: Eukaryota; Viridiplantae; Streptophyta; Magnoliopsida; Malpighiales; Euphorbiaceae. The record is from RNAcentral.